Mus pahari (shrew mouse) is the source of this 617-nucleotide long non-coding RNA. RefSeq lists it as uncharacterized. The record is from RefSeq and is a predicted model, not a curated record. Lineage: Eukaryota; Metazoa; Chordata; Mammalia; Rodentia; Muridae. The transcript has 3 exons.
GAGUUGGCUGGCCUUCGUGAGUUCUGCGGUAGGAGGAUUACCUGGAGGCCGAGGUGGAGAUGGAGAACGCCAGUGCAGAGCUCUGCUCCGCUUGCCACGGCGCCUCCGGGCUCGGCCAAGCCUGAGUCCUCUGUGGCUGUCAGUCACCAGGGUGGGGAAGUGCCCAGAGGGCGGUCCUGGCGAUGGCUGCGUCUACGAUGCUCCUGCUCUUCAAAAGCCGCCCAAGCUCUUUCAUUUUUCUCCUCAGAAAUGAAUUUUUGCCGGAGUGGUUGGAGUGACCAGCGUCAUAAACCUUGCGAUUUCAGCGCUUCUGUUUUGAAAACCAGCAACAAGCUUCUGGUGUUGGAGUAUGUGAUCCAUUCAAGCUUUCUGUGUGGUGCUGGGCUUGGGGCAGAUACCUGCCGUCCCAAGAACUAAGAGGAUGGCAUCCAUUUGUUUUGUGGUCCCCGUUCUGAUGCUUCUAAAGGCUUUGCUUGUCUGCAGUGCUGGGAUCAGCUCCAUGGACUUGAGGCUGUUAGGCAAGCACUCUGCACCAAGCCAAAGCCCCAGUUUUGCAGAUGUUUUUCCUUUUAAAUAAAAAGGUAAUUGCUCUAGCAGUUUCUGAAUCAAUUUUUUUU